UGAGCAUGACGUCAUCGUCCUUGCGGGCGUCCUCACAAAUUACCUGCAUUCAGAGAUGCGUAUCGGCACAGGCCGGGGUGCGAAAGUCCCAUCAUGGGGCCUUAGCUCAGCUGGGAGAGCACCUGCUUUUGCAAGCAGGGGGUCGUCGGUUCGAUCCCGACAAGGCUCCCACCCAGAUCUGCAAGAUCCCUCUGCAAACGGCCCCACACAUCCGUGUGUGGACUGCUGAGGGAAACGCAAGAGCACACGACUUUGGGUCUGUAGCUCAGGUGGUUAGAGCGCACCCCUGAUAAGGGUGAGGUCCGGUGGUUCGAGUCCUCCCAGACCCACCACUCUGAAUGUAGUGCACACUUAAGAAUUUAUACGGAUCAGCGUUGAGGCUGGUACGUGUUCUUUUAUAACUUAUGACGUAGCGAGCGUUUGAGAUAUCUAUCUAAAACGUGUCCGUUGAGGCUAAGGCGGGGGACUUCGAGUCCCUAGAAAUUGAGUCGUAUGUUCGCGUUGGUGGCUUUGUACCCCACACAACACGGCAUGUGACCCCGAGGCAACUUGGGGUUAUA
Molecule: unclassified non-coding RNA, 560 nt
Filed under: Xanthomonas codiaei
Lineage: Bacteria; Pseudomonadati; Pseudomonadota; Gammaproteobacteria; Lysobacterales; Lysobacteraceae
Description: 16S-23S ribosomal RNA intergenic spacer
Rfam family: tRNA (bases 255-329)
Source: RNAcentral